CCUACGGGCGGCACCAGUGGGGAAUAUUGCACAAUGGGCGCAAGCCUGAUGCAGCCAUGCCGCGUGUAUGAAGAAGGCCUUCGGGUUGUAAAGUACUUUCAGCGGGAGGAAGGUGUUGAGGUUAAUAACCUCAGCAAUUGACGUUACCCGCAGAAGAAGCACCGGCUAACUCCGUGCCAGCAGCCGCGGUAAUACGGAGGGUGCAAGCGUUAAUCGGAAUUACUGGGCGUAAAGCGCACGCAGGCGGUCUGUCAAGUCGGAUGUGAAAUCCCCGGGCUCAACCUGGGAACUGCAUUCGAAACUGGCAGGCUAGAGUCUUGUAGAGGGGGGUAGAAUUCCAGGUGUAGCGGUGAAAUGCGUAGAGAUCUGGAGGAAUACCGGUGGCGAAGGCGGCCCCCUGGACAAAGACUGACGCUCAGGUGCGAAAGCGUGGGGAGCAAACAGGAUUAGAUACCCGGGUAGUC
Molecule: ribosomal RNA, 464 nt
Filed under: uncultured bacterium
Lineage: Bacteria
Description: bacterial SSU rRNA
Rfam family: Bacterial small subunit ribosomal RNA
Source: RNAcentral